Molecule: ribosomal RNA, 253 nt
Filed under: uncultured bacterium
Lineage: Bacteria
Description: partial 16S ribosomal RNA
Rfam family: Bacterial small subunit ribosomal RNA
Source: RNAcentral
UACGUAGGGUGCAAGCGUUGUCCGGAAUUAUUGGGCGUAAAGAGCGUGUAGGCGGCCCGAUUAGUCCGCUGUGAAAGUCCAGGGCUCAACCCUGGAAUGCCGGUGGAUACUGUCGGGCUAGAGUCCGGAAGGGGCGAGUGGAAUUCCUGGUGUAGCGGUGAAAUGCGCAGAUAUCGGGAAGAAUAUCCGUGGCGAAGGCGGCUCUCUGGUACGGCACUGACGCUGAGACGCGAAAGCGUGGGGAGCAAACAGG